AAGAAACUAGAAGUGACCCUCUGGGUCAAAAUUGAUGCCUGUUGAAUGGAAAACCAAACAUUGCAUUUUCUCACCAAAUGUGGGAGCUAAGCUAUGAGGAUGCAAAGACGAGAGCUGGGGUAGCAAUGUGGCAAUGGAGACUUGAAAUAUCUCAAGAAUACCAUGAAACAGGGCCAGCUGCAGGUUGAGUCCUGUGUCUGGGCCCUAAUUUCCUUGUGAUUGGGCUACUGGUGAUCAUGCAGUUGUCUUCUGGAUGAAAGGAGCUGGUCUGUGGAGAGAUCUCUGGCCACCUGAAGAUGAGGGGAAGAGUCCCCUUGCCUCACAGAUUGAAUCCCAGGCCACCACACAGGAGCUGAAGAGGCCAGGCUCCUCCCUCCUGCCUGCGGCUCUGUCCCGUUCUUCCAGUACUCAUGUGGGUAUGCUCAGACAAGGCCCUGGGCAGGUUCCCUCAUCUGCACAAAAGCACCUGAUGUAAACACUUGUGGGGUAGGUCGGAAAUUCUCUGAGGACCCCUUUUUAUCUGCCUAGACAUUUGGCCUUCUCAUUUGCAUGAUGUUAAACGUUAUCUUUGUCACCUAAAUAAACUGCAAGUUCUGUUAAUGUUGCUCAGUCAGUCACUACUCAUGCUGAUGGCCUAGGUCUGUGCAACCAGAGUCUAAACUGCUCCUAACAAUGAAGCCUUCAGCCUCUGUCACUUCCUCAGGGAGGCGAUUGCAGAGCUGGAUAGAUCCCUUCGAUUGGCUCUUAAGAGCUUUCCAUUUUCUCUUUCUCCUUUUUGUCUCUUCAAAUGAAUACAUUUCACAAAGGUAUAGGUUACUGUGGGAGCAUCUCUCUUCCUGAAAAUGAAGGCAGCCAUCACUGAAACAUUGCUUAGAGCCACUUUGAGAGCAAAAUGAUGACAAGUUUUAAUGACUACAAAUGUCAACCUCAACCAGAUAUAAGAUCAAGAAAUAAGAACAUUCAUUACUAUUCUUAUUUGUCAGCAAUAAACAGCUGGAAAAUAAAAUGGCACCAUGAAAAUGAACUACCUAGGCAUUAUCUAAUAAGAAUGUAUA
This 1055-nucleotide long non-coding RNA is filed under the name Papio anubis (olive baboon). RNAcentral describes it as "lncRNA (ENSPANG00000039321.1)". Lineage: Eukaryota; Metazoa; Chordata; Mammalia; Primates; Cercopithecidae. The record is from RNAcentral.